This 74-nucleotide small nucleolar RNA is filed under the name Salinarchaeum sp. Harcht-Bsk1. Lineage: Archaea; Methanobacteriati; Methanobacteriota; Halobacteria; Halobacteriales; Natronoarchaeaceae. The record is from RNAcentral.
GGCCGAUGACGACGGCACCGAUUCCGAGCCGGUCUCGGCAACCGGCGAUGAGGAGCCCUAUGAGUGCCGAGGCC